AAGUCGUAACAAGGUUUCCGUAGGUGAACCUGCGGAAGGAUCAUUAACACGUAUCCGAACGUAAAAAAAACCCUGUGCAUCUUCAUUGGUUGGUUUGCGAACGACUCUAGCGCCAGCCUGCAAUAAUUACUGACCUGGCACUCUAAGCAAUCAAUGUUCUGUCAGUGUACAUUGGUUGUAACGGGUGGCGGCUUCACCGAUCGUUAGAGGCCCACACGGCCGACGACUGGGUCAGCGAGCUGUCAGUGCUCCCCCCAAUAACCACUCAACAAGUACUUCUGCGCUCCUCGGGGAAACCCGAGGUGUAGUUAAAAUUAAUACAACUGUUAACAAUGGAUAUCUUGGUUCUCGCAUCGAAGAACGCAGC
RNAcentral lists this unclassified non-coding RNA (367 nucleotides) under fungal sp. Its description in RNAcentral is "partial internal transcribed spacer region". The stretch from base 1 to 46 matches the Rfam family "Eukaryotic small subunit ribosomal RNA", at positions 1786 to 1831 of the family's 1831-position model. The record is from RNAcentral. Lineage: Eukaryota; Fungi.